Molecule: ribosomal RNA, 447 nt
Filed under: uncultured bacterium
Lineage: Bacteria
Description: bacterial SSU rRNA
Rfam family: Bacterial small subunit ribosomal RNA
Source: RNAcentral
AUGAACGCUGGCGGCGUGUCUAAGGCAUGCAAGUCGAGUGGGUUUAGACCCACGGCAAACGGGUGCGUAACACAUUGGUAAUCUACCUCCAACUUGAGCAUAACUCCGCGAAAGCGGAGAUAAUUCUCAAUAAUCAUGAGGGGACGCAAGUCAUUCUCAUGUAAAGAUUUAUCGGUUGGAGAGGAGCCUAUGGCCUAUCAGCUAGUUGGUGAGGUAAUGGCUCACCAAGGCAACGACGGGUAGCGGGUGUGAGAGCACGACCCGCCUCACUGGGACUGAGACACUGCCCAGACUCCUACGGGAGGCUGCAGUCAAGAAUCUUCCCCAGUGCGCGAAAGCGUGAGGGGGCGACGCCGCGUGCAGGAAGAAGGCCUUCGGGUCGUAAACUGCUUUUGUAGAGGACGAAUUUCUGACGGUACUCUGCGAAUAAGAGGUUGCUAACUCUGU